This is a long non-coding RNA of Lontra canadensis (Northern American river otter), 168 nucleotides long. RefSeq lists it as uncharacterized. The transcript is spliced from 3 exons. The record is from RefSeq and is a predicted model, not a curated record. NCBI's taxonomy places the organism in Eukaryota, Metazoa, Chordata, Mammalia, Carnivora, Mustelidae.
UUCCCACCUUCAGAACUCUGCUUCUAAUAGUUUGUUGACAGUGCAAUUCAUAACCAGGAGCUUGCUCCCAAUUACCAUUUUCUGCAGUGAUAGAGUUCUUGUCUCUCCUCUUUGCAAGUGCAUGUAAAAGAAAGGACAGGCCUGGGCUAUCCCUCUCUGAUAAAAAAA